This 440-nucleotide ribosomal RNA is filed under the name uncultured bacterium. RNAcentral's name for it is "partial 16S ribosomal RNA". It matches the Rfam family "Bacterial small subunit ribosomal RNA", at positions 338 to 795 of the family's 1533-position model. The record is from RNAcentral.
CCUACGGGUGACAGCAGUGGGGAAUAUUGCUCAAUGGGGGAAACCCUGAAGCAGCAACGCCGCGUGGAGGAUGACGGUUUUCGGAUUGUAAACUCCUUUUUUUAGAGAAGUUAAUGGCGGUAUCUAACGAAUAAGCACCGGCUAACUCCGUGCCAGCAGCCGCGGUAAUACGGAGGGUGCAAGCGUUACCCGGAUUCACUGGGCGUUAAGGGCGCGUAGGCGGUAUAGUAAGUCAGAUGUGAAAUCUUAUGGCUUAACCAUAGAAUUGCAUUUGAAACUGGUAUCCUAGAGUAUGGGAGAGGUAGGUGGAAUUCUUGGUGUAGGGGUAAAAUCCGUAGAUAUCAAGAGGAAUACUGAUUGCGAAGGCGACCUGCUAGAACAUAACUGACGCUGAUGCGCGAAAGUGUGGGGAGCAAACAGGAUUAGAUACCCCUGUAGUC